RNAcentral lists this ribosomal RNA (685 nucleotides) under uncultured Actinomycetes bacterium. RNAcentral's name for it is "bacterial SSU rRNA". It matches the Rfam family "Bacterial small subunit ribosomal RNA", at positions 774 to 1461 of the family's 1533-position model. Lineage: Bacteria; Bacillati; Actinomycetota; Actinomycetes. The record is from RNAcentral.
AGGAUUAGAUACCCUGGUAGUCCACGCCGUAAACGGUGGGCACUAGUUGUGGGGACCUUCCACGGUCUCUGCGACGCAGCUAACGCAUUAAGUGCCCCGCCUGGGGAGUACGAUCGCAAGAUUAAAACUCAAAGGAAUUGACGGGGCCCCGCACAAGCAGCGGAGCAUGCGGCUUAAUUCGACGCAACGCGAAGAACCUUACCAAGGCUUGACAUAUACAGGAAUAUGGCAGAGAUGUCAUAGCCGCAAGGUCUGUAUACAGGUGGUGCAUGGUUGUCGUCAGCUCGUGUCGUGAGAUGUUGGGUUAAGUCCCGCAACGAGCGCAACCCUCGUUCUGUGUUGCCAGCAUUUAGUUGGGGACUCACAGGAGACUGCCGGGGUUAACUCGGAGGAAGGUGGGGAUGACGUCAAAUCAUCAUGCCCCUUAUGUCUUGGGCUGCACGCAUGCUACAAUGGCUGGUACAAACGGCUGCAAUACCGCAAGGUGGAGCGAAUCCGAGAAAGCCAGUCUCAGUUCGGAUUGGGGUCUGCAACUCGACCCCAUGAAGUCGGAGUUGCUAGUAAUCGUAGAUCAGCAACGCUACGGUGAAUACGUUCCCGGGGCUUGUACACACCGCCCGUCACGUCACGAAAGUCGGUAACACCCGAAGUCAGUGGCCCAACCGCAAGGAGGGAGCUGCCGAAG